AACAAACAAGAGGCAAUACAGAUAAAAACGCUCAGGAUGCACAGUUUAAAUGGUAAAACCUGGCAACAAGCACGAGUGUGAUGUGUCUUUUGUGAUUGAGUGGACUCUUUGAGGUGACUGAUGAAAUGUUUUUGAACGAGUCAAUUUGAGGUGACUGAUGUGUCGUUUGUGAAUGAAUCGACUCUUUGAGGUGACUGAUGUGUCGUAUGUGAAUGAGUCGACUCUUUGAGGUGACUGAUGUGUCGUUUGUGAAUGAGUCUAAUCUUUGAGGUGACGUGUCGUGUCGUUUGUGAAUGAAUCGACUCUUUGAGGUGACUGAAGUGUGGUUUGUGAAUGAGUCUAAUCUUUGAGGUGACUGACGUGUCGUUUGAGAAUGAGUCGACUCUUUGAGGUGACUGACGUGUCGUUUGUGAAUGAGUCGACUCUUUGAGGUGACUGACGUGUCGUUUGUGAAUGAGUCGACUCUUUGAGGUGACUGACGUGUCGUUUGUGAAUGAGUCGACUCUUUAAUAUGAUUGAUGUUUAGUUUGCUGAACGAGACGCCUCUAUGAGUCAGGUCCUUUUAGGUUAUGCUAAGAGACAACACAUUUAUGUGCUGUAAGGAUAUCCUGUUAAAUGGAAAUGAAUUUACUUAAUGAAGCAAAGAAACAGCAGGCACAAUAACAUUAAAGCAGAGAUGCUUACUAUAGGCUAUUUAUCGAUGCACACGCUAGUUGUGGUACUUUGCUGAAUUUUCCAAUGAUUUAACCAGAUUUUACAAAACACAAUCAUGUUAUUUUACUAAUUAGACAGAAGGGUAAGACUUUAGGAAAUAAAAUAAGCAUUUUUAAAGCUUGAAAUGAGUAGAAAUGGAGAGAUCCAAGUUUAAUAAUCUUAUCUUUUUGGUUUAUUGUAAUCUUAUAACAGGAGGAACUAGAUAAAGUUGACCUUAUUUAAGGUUUUCACUUGCUAAGGUCAUUAAAAUAUCUUCCAGCUCUGAGAAAAAUGGUAAUGAGCUGUUUGAGAGUCGAGGUGAGACGUG
Molecule: long non-coding RNA, 1021 nt
Organism: Ictalurus punctatus (channel catfish)
Lineage: Eukaryota; Metazoa; Chordata; Actinopteri; Siluriformes; Ictaluridae
Source: Ensembl